AGUGGGAUAGCUGGGUAAAAUGGUGGUUCCAUUCAGUUUUCCAAGGAAUCUUCAUACUGCUUUCCAGAUUGGUUGCACCAAUUUUCAGUCCCACUAGCAAU
RNAcentral lists this microRNA precursor (101 nucleotides) under Marmota monax (woodchuck). Lineage: Eukaryota; Metazoa; Chordata; Mammalia; Rodentia; Sciuridae. The record is from RNAcentral.